CUACGGGCUGCUCCAGUGGGGAAUAUUGGACAAUGGGCGCAAGCCUGAUCCAGCAAUGCCGCGUGUGUGAAGAAGGCCUUCGGGUUGUAAAGCACUUUUGUUGGGGAGGAAAGUCUGGUAGCUAAUAACUGCUAGAUCUGACGUUACCUAAAGAAUCAGCACCGGCUAACUCUGUGCCAGCAGCCGCGGUAACACAGAGGGUGCAAGCGUUAAUCGGAAUUACUGGGCGUAAAGGGUCUGUAGGCGGAUUAUUAAGUCGGAUGUGAAAUCCCCGGGCUCAACCUGGGAACGGCAUUCGAUACUGGUAGUCUAGAGUGUGCAAGAGGAUGGGGGAAUUCCUGGUGUAGCAGUGAAAUGCGUAGAGAUCAGGAGGAACAUCAAUGGCGAAGGCACCUUUCUGGGGCAACACUGACGCUGAGAGACGAAAGCGUGGGGAGCAAACAGGAUUAGAUACCCUAGUAGUC
This 464-nucleotide ribosomal RNA is filed under the name uncultured bacterium. RNAcentral describes it as "partial 16S ribosomal RNA". It matches the Rfam family "Bacterial small subunit ribosomal RNA", at positions 339 to 795 of the family's 1533-position model. The record is from RNAcentral.